GGUUAAGCGACUAAGCGUACACGGUGGAUGCCCUGGCAGUCAGAGGCGAUGAAGGACGUGCUAAUCUGCGAUAAGCGUCGGUAAGGUGAUAUGAACCGUUAUAACCGGCGAUUUCCGAAUGGGGAAACCCAGUGUGUUUCGACACACUAUCAUUAACUGAAUCCAUAGGUUAAUGAGGCGAACCGGGGGAACUGAAACAUCUAAGUACCCCGAGGAAAAGAAAUCAACCGAGAUUCCCCCAGUAGCGGCGAGCGAACGGGGAGCAGCCCAGAGCCUGAAUCAGUGUGUGUGUUAGUGGAAGCGUCUGGAAAGGCGCGCGAUACAGGGUGACAGCCCCGUACACAAAAAUGCACAUGCUGUGAGCUCGAUGAGUAGGGCGGGACACGUGGUAUCCUGUCUGAAUAUGGGGGGACCAUCCUCCAAGGCUAAAUACUCCUGACUGACCGAUAGUGAACCAGUACCGUGAGGGAAAGGCGAAAAGAACCCCGGCGAGGGGAGUGAAAAAGAACCUGAAACCGUGUACGUACAAGCAGUGGGAGCACAGAGCAAUCUGUGUGACUGCGUACCUUUUGUAUAAUGGGUCAGCGACUUAUAUUCUGUAGCAAGGUUAACCGAAUAGGGGAGCCGAAGGGAAACCGAGUCUUAACUGGGCGUUAAGUUGCAGGGUAUAGACCCGAAACCCGGUGAUCUAGCCAUGGGCAGGUUGAAGGUUGGGUAACACUAACUGGAGGACCGAACCGACUAAUGUUGAAAAAUUAGCGGAUGACUUGUGGCUGGGGGUGAAAGGCCAAUCAAACCGGGAGAUAGCUGGUUCUCCCCGAAAGCUAUUUAGGUAGCGCCUCGUGAAUUCAUCUCCGGGGGUAGAGCACUGUUUCGGCAAGGGGGUCAUCCCGACUUACCAACCCGAUGCAAACUGCGAAUACCGGAGAAUGUUAUCACGGGAGACACACGGCGGGUGCUAACGUCCGUCGUGAAGAGGGAAACAACCCAGACCGCCAGCUAAGGUCCCAAAGUCAUGGUUAAGUGGGAAACGAUGUGGGAAGGCCCAGACAGCCAGGAUGUUGGCUUAGAAGCAGCCAUCAUUUAAAGAAAGCGUAAUAGCUCACUGGUCGAGUCGGCCUGCGCGGAAGAUGUAACGGGGCUAAACCAUGCACCGAAGCUGCGGCAGCGACGCUUAUGCGUUGUUGGGUAGGGGAGCGUUCUGUAAGCCUGCGAAGGUGUGCUGUGAGGCAUGCUGGAGGUAUCAGAAGUGCGAAUGCUGACAUAAGUAACGAUAAAGCGGGUGAAAAGCCCGCUCGCCGGAAGACCAAGGGUUCCUGUCCAACGUUAAUCGGGGCAGGGUGAGUCGACCCCUAAGGCGAGGCCGAAAGGCGUAGUCGAUGGGAAACAGGUUAAUAUUCCUGUACUUGGUGUUACUGCGAAGGGGGGACGGAGAAGGCUAUGUUGGCCGGGCGACGGUUGUCCCGGUUUAAGCGUGUAGGCUGGUUUUCCAGGCAAAUCCGGAAAAUCAAGGCUGAGGCGUGAUGACGAGGCACUACGGUGCUGAAGCAACAAAUGCCCUGCUUCCAGGAAAAGCCUCUAAGCAUCAGGUAACAUCAAAUCGUACCCCAAACCGACACAGGUGGUCAGGUAGAGAAUACCAAGGCGCUUGAGAGAACUCGGGUGAAGGAACUAGGCAAAAUGGUGCCGUAACUUCGGGAGAAGGCACGCUGAUAUGUAGGUGAAGCGACUUGCUCGUGGAGCUGAAAUCAGUCGAAGAUACCAGCUGGCUGCAACUGUUUAUUAAAAACACAGCACUGUGCAAACACGAAAGUGGACGUAUACGGUGUGACGCCUGCCCGGUGCCGGAAGGUUAAUUGAUGGGGUCAGCGCAAGCGAAGCUCUUGAUCGAAGCCCCGGUAAACGGCGGCCGUAACUAUAACGGUCCUAAGGUAGCGAAAUUCCUUGUCGGGUAAGUUCCGACCUGCACGAAUGGCGUAAUGAUGGCCAGGCUGUCUCCACCCGAGACUCAGUGAAAUUGAACUCGCUGUGAAGAUGCAGUGUACCCGCGGCAAGACGGAAAGACCCCGUGAACCUUUACUAUAGCUUGACACUGAACAUUGAGCCUUGAUGUGUAGGAUAGGUGGGAGGCUUAGAAGUGUGGACGCCAGUCUGCAUGGAGCCGACCUUGAAAUACCACCCUUUAAUGUUUGAUGUUCUAACGUUGACCCGUAAUCCGGGUUGCGGACAGUGUCUGGUGGGUAGUUUGACUGGGGCGGUCUCCUCCUAAAGAGUAACGGAGGAGCACGAAGGUUGGCUAAUCCUGGUCGGACAUCAGGAGGUUAGUGCAAUGGCAUAAGCCAGCUUGACUGCGAGCGUGACGGCGCGAGCAGGUGCGAAAGCAGGUCAUAGUGAUCCGGUGGUUCUGAAUGGAAGGGCCAUCGCUCAACGGAUAAAAGGUACUCCGGGGAUAACAGGCUGAUACCGCCCAAGAGUUCAUAUCGACGGCGGUGUUUGGCACCUCGAUGUCGGCUCAUCACAUCCUGGGGCUGAAGUAGGUCCCAAGGGUAUGGCUGUUCGCCAUUUAAAGUGGUACGCGAGCUGGGUUUAGAACGUCGUGAGACAGUUCGGUCCCUAUCUGCCGUGGGCGCUGGAGAACUGAGGGGGGCUGCUCCUAGUACGAGAGGACCGGAGUGGACGCAUCACUGGUGUUCGGGUUGUCAUGCCAAUGGCACUGCCCGGUAGCUAAAUGCGGAAGAGAUAAGUGCUGAAAGCAUCUAAGCACGAAACUUGCCCCGAGAUGAGUUCUCCCUGACUCCUUGAGAGUCCUGAAGGAACGUUGAAGACGACGACGUUGAUAGGCCGGGUGUGUAAGCGCAGCGAUGCGUUGAGCUAACCGGUACUAAUGAACCGUGAGGCUUAACCUU
Molecule: ribosomal RNA, 2906 nt
Filed under: Escherichia coli
Lineage: Bacteria; Pseudomonadati; Pseudomonadota; Gammaproteobacteria; Enterobacterales; Enterobacteriaceae
Description: 23S ribosomal RNA
Rfam family: Bacterial large subunit ribosomal RNA
Source: RNAcentral